GGAGGGUUAGUCCUAACUGGUAAGGCAGUGGACUUGAAAUCCACCGGCCGCAAGGCCUUGCGGGUUCGAAUCCUGCCCCCUCCGCCA
Molecule: transfer RNA, 87 nt
Filed under: candidate division Zixibacteria bacterium SM23_73_3
Lineage: Bacteria; Pseudomonadati; Candidatus Zixiibacteriota
Also listed under: 1 other name
Description: tRNA-Ser
Rfam family: tRNA
About the family: Transfer RNA (tRNA) molecules are approximately 80 nucleotides in length.
Source: RNAcentral